UACGUAGGUGACCAGCGUUGUCCGGAUUUACUGGGCGUAAAGAGCGCGCAGGCGGUCGUUUAAGUCGAGUGUGAAAGCCCCCGGCUCAACUGGGGAGGGUCACUCGAUACUGAUCGACUGGAAGGCAGGAGAGGGAAGCGGAAUUCCCGGUGUAGUGGUGAAAUGCGUAGAUAUCGGGAGGAACACCAGUGGCGAAGGCGGCUUCCUGGCCUGUUCUUGACGCUGAGGCGCGAAAGCUAGGGGAGCAAACGGG
Molecule: ribosomal RNA, 253 nt
Filed under: uncultured bacterium
Lineage: Bacteria
Description: partial 16S ribosomal RNA
Rfam family: Bacterial small subunit ribosomal RNA
Source: RNAcentral